This 443-nucleotide ribosomal RNA is filed under the name uncultured bacterium. RNAcentral describes it as "bacterial SSU rRNA". It matches the Rfam family "Bacterial small subunit ribosomal RNA", at positions 355 to 796 of the family's 1533-position model. The record is from RNAcentral.
UCGAGAAUCUUCGGCAAUGGGCGCAAGCCUGACCGAGCGACGCCGCGUGGAGGACGAAGGCCUUCGGGUUGUAAACUCCUGUCGAGGGGGACCAAGGGGGCGCGAAGAGCGUCCCUCGAGAGAUCCCUGGAGGAAGCACGGGCUAAGUUCGUGCCAGCAGCCGCGGUAAGACGAACCGUGCGAACGUUAUUCGGAAUCAUUGGGCUUAAAGGGCGCGUAGGCGGGCGACCGCGUCGAGUGCUGAAAGCCCCCGGCUCAACCGGGGAACGGGCCUCGAUACGGGUCGCCUCGAGGCGAGGAGGGGGACCUGGAACUUCCGGUGGAGCGGUGAAAUGCGUUGAGAUCGGAAGGAACGCCGACGGCGAAAGCAAGGUCCUGGACUCGUCCUGACGCUGAGGCGCGAAAGCCAGGGGAGCGAACGGGAUUAGAUACCCCCGUAGUCC